Molecule: long non-coding RNA, 3826 nt
Filed under: Panax ginseng (ginseng)
Lineage: Eukaryota; Viridiplantae; Streptophyta; Magnoliopsida; Apiales; Araliaceae
Description: long non-coding RNA (PGIN_LNC002785)
Source: RNAcentral
CUGAAUCGCAACCUUUACAAUUCUUCCUUAUACUAGAAUCAUAUUUAUUAUAUAAUCUGUGUAAACAUAUUAAAAGCUCAAGUCUCAAUACUUCAUAUCUUUUCUAUUGAUGAUUCAUUUAUUUUAGAAUCAUAUCUAUUCUUAUUUCAGAAUAAAAAUUCUUUAUCCAUUCAACAUUUCAAACUAUACAUAAUUGCCAAUUACAUUUGACAAAACUAUCAAUCAUAGAUUUAUACCAUUUCUAAUUCAAGGAAAUGUAUUCAUUUUGCACAUCGUUCAAUCUUCAUCAUCCGUAUAGCAAGUAAUAUUGCCUAACAUCAUUAACCUGUAAAAAGUUUGUGUUUGUAAGAUUGAGCUCGACAGUCCAGCAAAAUUUAACAGUCUAUCAUGUUUCACAUAACACACAAUUCCAUAUGCACUAUAUUUCAUUUACUAUGCAUAUCCGCAUACAACAUAUAUUCUUUACUAUGCAUAUCCUACAUGCAUCAAUAAUUCCUUACAAAGCAUACAUUCAUACAUUAUACAUUUAUAAUUUAUCGAGUUACAUCAUACAACAUGUGCUAUCACAUAUCACAUAUAAAUUAAGUUUCAUAACCCAAUUAACUUAGUCAUAUUUUGACUUUAACAAUUCAUAAAGCAUAAUAUGUAACUCACCACAUAAUCACAUUUAAUCCACAAACAUAAUAGAACUGAAAAACUUGCCUUGAUUAGAGAUUACCACAAAAGUUAACCUAGAGUUUCUCCACAAUUCCUACAGAAUUAUAUUUACAUGUACACAUAUAUUAGAUAAUUGAAUAUGUUACAAAACAUGCAUGUAUAUUCAUCAAUAAUAAUUAUUAGUUUUAUACAAACUAAUAUUAUUUAUUCUUACUCAAAACGAAUAUUAGUUUAUUUAGAAACUUAAUUCGUUUUAACCUUUUUACACCAAAUAAAGGUCCCUCACAUUUUAGUAUGUAAAUAUUUUACACUUUGAAGCUUCAAUCAUUUAUAUUCCACUUUAGGAAUAUUUUAUGCCUUUUCUCAUUAAUUCGGGAUUUUAACAGCUUAUAAAUAGCUUUUAUAGUAAAAUUCAAUUUACUAUAUUAUUCCUUUAAUAUAAAUAAUUUUUAUAUUAUUAUUUUGCAUGUUCAUGAGUUAACUCGAAUCAUUAUCUCAUAUAUAAAUAUUUUAUCCCGCUAACACAUUCGCUUACUCUUCGUUUUGCAGAUAAUUACAUUUUCACUAUAUAUGAACGUAUUAGCCACACAACCAUGUCAUAUAACUUGUACAGUUAUAUUUUAGAUAUUCACAUUGACCACCUCUUUUCAAAAACAUUUAUUCUUUUAGUCACGGUAAUAUAUCCUUUAUCGCUUUAAUAGAUUUUGACAUGAUUUACUUCAUGAAUAUCUCACAAUUUUAGUUUUAUAAUCCACUCGUAGCUUAAUAUAUGGGUAUUCCAUAUCUCUUAUACCUCACUUAAGUAUUUAAGGUGAAUACAUAAUAUAUCUUAUGUAUUGUUCAUGAUUAUAUAAUAUACGGACAAAUUAUAGAUUUUAAAUUGCUUAAUAUACCUAUUUUUGUAAACUGUUUUGUUAAAACCCAUUAUGUUUCCAAGCAAUACUAAACAACCCCAUAAAACAAUAACAGACCCAUGGCGUGGCCUUGCUUGGUUAAACAGCCUUUUCGAGCUUCCGACGCUCACUUUAUUAUUUUCCAAUUCUCAACUCGUUAAUUCAAAAUCUAUUAAGCUUCGGUUAUGUUAAAGAUUAUAUACCCGUCUAUUUUUACUAGCUUAUAAACUAAUUUCACGGGUACACAAACAAGCUACAAAAAAUGCAUGUCAAACUGCUUGUCGCUUCGUGCUACUGACUGCUACUGCUGCUGCCAUGGGCAGCAGUUCCUUACGCAACAUGGCUUCUGGCUUCAUUACAAAUUCAUAUCUUUUAGCUCAUAACUUCGAUUACAACCAAUUUUGGAUAUAUUGUAGACACCAUAUUAGGCUAUAUUUAGAAAAUAUAAUCCACCUAUUUUGGACAUCAUAGGCAGUCCAAAACAGACUCCAAAAAUGUUUGGUCGCAACUGUUUUUAAUUUUUUUUUCCAGCUUUACCCUCUCUCGCUAAAACAGUCAUAACUUUUUCAUUCCAAAAUAUUUUUGAGCGAUUCUUGAGCCCACGCAAAGCUAAUUUCCGGGACUACAACUUUUAUUCUUUUACCUUUUCCCAAUUCUAAACACAAAAUUCCAGAAAUUCUGUGUAAAGGGACUGACCCGAGUUGGUUUGACAGUUUUGACGCGACUACUUUGAAUGGUCAUAACUCUUUGCUCCGAAGUUGGAAUUAGUCCGUUCCGGAGUCUAUGGAAAGCUUAUUUAGUGUACUAUAACAUACCAAAAGCUAAGAAGUUUCUGGAAACAUUAACUGAUCGAAACAGUGUCCCAAAUAGUACAUCCCGCUGCUAACUUCCAGUCACCAUAACUCCCUCAUCCGAGGUCGGAAUGAGGUCAUUCCAAAGCCUAUGACUUCCUAACUCAGUGCACUACGACUACCCAGAAACUCAAAAUUUUUCAGGCAACAUAGCUAUUCCAGAAUUUGACACUAUAGUCAUUGUUCAUCCAGUUUUCAUUUCUAGACAUGGUUUAAUAAAAUCUUUACCACGGAUUCGUUUUAACUCCGUUUUGGUUCAUUCACAGGAUUACAGCAAAUUUGAAAUACGUUAUAUAUAGUAUAUGAGACUACAUUUAGAAAUUAUAAACUCCCCAUUUCAGAUUCUUUAAGCUGCCCAAAACAGUGUUCUAAAGUAGCUUGUGUCAUACUAAAUUCCAUCUUUUCUUUUUAGCUUAAAAUUUCUUUUCUCUUUAACUUAGUAUGCCCAAACUCUUUAAUUAUCAUCAUAUAUGGUAUAUAUACAUUGCAUUAGCCUUGAAUUCUUUUGAUACUUGGUUUUUAACAAAAAUAGUCCAUAUAAGACUUUUAUCAAACUAGUGGUGUGCACUCCCUUAAAGCUCAGAUUUCUUAAGGUUUGGUUUGUGUUCUAACCUCAUUUUCCACCUUAUUACUCCUCAUAAUUCAAGCUAAACUCCUUGGCUCUAAUUCAGAUCACCACUAACUGGUUACACCAUUAAAAUUCACAUAAACAAUUAGUUUACAUACUAACCCAAAUAUGGUAACUUACUUUGCUUAAUUUCCAUAAAGUUCUCAUAUAUACUUUGUAUUAGAGACUUCAUAACCAGUACAGGUAACCUUAAUUGUAACUGAUAUAUGGUUAACUUUAUUUAAACCAACUACUUUCACAAUUAAACAUAUAAAUUUCAAUGUUAAUACCAAAACUAAAAUAAGAACUCACCUUCUUUGCUUGCUUUUCUAACAUAAGCUCCUUGUUACAACACCCCUGCUACCAACCUUUUGAUGCCAACUCUUAUUAAUUUAAAUUUUAUACACUAUCUUCUUGCCCAAAUUUGAUAAAUUUAAUCGGACCAAAAUUUUGGGUAUGUGGUUCGGCAGUUUAGUAGAGAAAGGAAUGAAUAUUUGAGAUGAAAGGGAAUAACUUAUGCUUGACAAAAUCUUUGAGAGAAGAUGCAAUAGAAUGAAACGGUACAUAGCAUAUCAAUUCCCACUUUCUUUUUUUUAUACUACUCAGGUAAGGCAGAAUAACUUGGUAAGGGAGGCAGGGGAGAGAAUUGGGUUGGGCGGAUGAGGAGAAAGAGAGAGCAAAAGAAUUUGGUUUUCUUUUAUAAAUCUCAAGUCUUGAUCACCACGAAGGUUUCCUUGCUCCCAAAUCAUAAUACUUGGUCACUACAUAAAGAGUUUACCGAAUGUUUUUAGACAUGUAACUCCCUCUCUUUUUUUGCC